AUUGAACGCUGGCGGCAUGCCUUACACAUGCAAGUCGAACGGUAACGGGCCUUCGGGUGCCGACGAGUGGCGAACGGGUGAGUAAUACAUCGGAACGUGCCCGAUCGUGGGGGAUAACGAGGCGAAAGCUUUGCUAAUACCGCACACGAUCUACGGAUGAAAGCAGGGGACCGCAAGGCCUUGCGUGGACGGAGCGGCCGAUGGUGGCUUAGGUAGUUGUUGGGAUAAAAGCUUACCAAGCCGACGACCUGUAGCUGGUCUGAGAGGAUGAUCAGCCGCACGGGGACGGAGACACGGCCCAGACUCCUACGGGAGGCAGCAGUGGGGAAUUUUGGGCAAAGGGCGCAAGCCUGAUCCAGCCAUGCCGCGUGCAGGAUGAAGGCCUUCGGGUUGUAAACUGCUUUUGUACGGAACGAAAAGCCUUCUUUUAAUACAGGAGGGUCAUGACGGUACCGUAAGAAUAAGCACCGGCUAACUACGUG
Molecule: ribosomal RNA, 482 nt
Filed under: uncultured bacterium
Lineage: Bacteria
Description: partial 16S ribosomal RNA
Rfam family: Bacterial small subunit ribosomal RNA
Source: RNAcentral